Molecule: ribosomal RNA, 429 nt
Filed under: uncultured bacterium
Lineage: Bacteria
Description: bacterial SSU rRNA
Rfam family: Bacterial small subunit ribosomal RNA
Source: RNAcentral
ACUCCUACGGGAGGCAGCAGUGGGGAAUAUUGCACAAUGCGCGCAAGCCUGAUGCAGCCAUGCCGCGUGUGUGAAGAAGGCCUUCGGGUUGUAAAGCACUUUCAGUCGUGAGGAAGGUAGNGUAGUUAAUAGCUGCAUUAUUUGACGUUAGCGACAGAAGAAGCACCGGCUAACUCCGUGCCAGCAGCCGCGGUAAUACGGAGGGUGCGAGCGUUAAUCGGAAUUACUGGGCGUAAAGCGCAUGCAGGUGGUUUGUUAAGUCAGAUGUGAAAGCCCGGGGCUCAACCUCGGAUUGCAUUUGAAACUGGCAGACUAGAGUACUGUAGAGGGGGGUAGAAUUUUCAGGUGUAGCGGUGAAAUGCGUAGAGAUCUGAAGGAAUACCGGUGGCGAACGGNGGCCCCCUGGACAGAUACUGACACUCAGAUGCG